GCCUACGGGACGCAGCAGUGGGGAAUAUUGCACAAUGGGGGAAACCCUGAUGCAGCGACGCCGCGUGAGUGAAGAAGUAUUUCGGUAUGUAAAGCUCUAUCAGCAGGGAAGAAAAAAGACGGUACCUGACUAAGAAGCCCCGGCUAACUACGUGCCAGCAGCCGCGGUAAUACGUAGGGGGCAAGCGUUAUCCGGAUUUACUGGGUGUAAAGGGAGCGUAGACGGCGCGGCAAGUCUGAAGUGAAAAGCAGGGGCUUAACCCCUGAACUGCUUUGGAAACUGCCAUGCUAGA
RNAcentral lists this ribosomal RNA (292 nucleotides) under uncultured bacterium. RNAcentral's name for it is "partial 16S ribosomal RNA". It matches the Rfam family "Bacterial small subunit ribosomal RNA", at positions 337 to 645 of the family's 1533-position model. The record is from RNAcentral.